AUCAAACAUUCUGCUCAAAAUUUGGCUUGCCUGCUUGACGCUUUACUUUUGAUGGUGUAUAGUGGAACCAUCAUUUAACAACUUCUUAAGUCGUUAGGUGAUGAAAAAUUUUUUUUAGUAUGCCGAAAGGUGUGCUACAGUACUAGGAGGAAAAAGCAAUAUGCAAAACGGUAAAGUAAAAUGGUUCAAUAAUGAAAAAGGUUUCGGCUUCAUUGAAGUUGAAGGCGGAGACGACGUAUUCGUUCACUUCACAGCUAUCGAAGGUGACGGUUACAAAUCUCUAGAAGAAGGACAAGAAGUUUCUUUUGAAAUCGUUGAAGGUAAUCGUGGACCUCAAGCUGCAAACGUAACAAAAAUCUAAUCAACUCAAUCAAUGAUGAAACGACAAAAUAAAGAGAGGCGUAUGCCUCUCUUAUUUG
RNAcentral lists this small RNA (419 nucleotides) under Bacillus altitudinis. RNAcentral describes it as "cspA". RNAcentral also lists the same sequence under 1 other name. The record is from RNAcentral. Lineage: Bacteria; Bacillati; Bacillota; Bacilli; Caryophanales; Bacillaceae.